GGCUCCACAUCCAAGGAAGGCAGCAGGCACGCAAAUUACCCACUCCCGGAACGGGGAGGUAGUGACAAAAAAUAACGAUACGGGACUCGAUAUGAGGCCUCGUAAUCGGAAUGAGUACACUCUAAAUCCUUUAACAAAAAUCUAUUGGAGGGCAAGUCUGGUGCCAGCAGCCGCGGUAAUUCCAGCUCCAAUAGCGUAUAUUAAAGUUGUUGCGGUUAAAAAGCUCGUAGUUGGUUCUGCGUCCCGCGCUGUCGGUACACCGUUUGUCGGUGACACUGGCAUGACGCGGGAUGUCCUGUCGGUGGCGGCGGAGACCAUAUCGCCGUCGGAUAACACCGCGGCGUGUUGGCCUUCUGUCGCCGGCUAUAUCCUACCGCGGUGCUCUUCACUGAGUGUCGAGGUAGGCCGACACGUUUACUUUGAACAAAUUAGAGUGCUUAAAGCAGGCAAAAAUCUCUGCCAGAAUAGUGGUGCAUGGAAUAAUGGAACAGGACCUUGGUUCUAUUCUGUUGGUCUCCGGAACACAAGGUAAUGAUCAAUGUGGACAGGCGGGGGCAUUCGUAUUGCGGCGUUAGAGGUGAAAUUCUUGGAUCGUCGCAAGACGCACUAGAGCGAAAGCAAUUGCCAAGUAUGUCUUAAUUGAUCAAGAACGAAAGUUAGAGGUUCGAAGGCGAUCAGAUACCGCCCUAGUUCUAACCAUAAACGAUGCCAGCCAGCGAUCCGCCGAUGUUCCUUUGAUGACUCGGCGGGGAGCUUUCCCCGGGAAACCAAAGCUUUUGGGUUCCGGGGGAAGUAUGGUUGCAAAGCUGAAACUUAAAGGAAUUGACGGAAGGGCACCACCAGAAGUGGAGCCUGCGGCUUAAUUUGACUCAACACGGGAAACCUCACCAGGUCAGGACAUUGGAAUGAUUGACAGAUUGAUAGCUCUUUCUUGAUUCAGUGGGUAGUGGUGCAUGGCCGUUCUUAGUUGGUGGAUCGAUUUGUCUGGUUAAUUCCGAUAACGAACGAGACUCUAGCCUAUUAACUAGACGCGUUUGGUAUCGAAUCUACCGGCGAACAAUAUUCUUCUU
This 1070-nucleotide ribosomal RNA is filed under the name Cimex lectularius (bed bug). RNAcentral describes it as "SSU rRNA". It matches the Rfam family "Eukaryotic small subunit ribosomal RNA", at positions 406 to 1412 of the family's 1831-position model. Lineage: Eukaryota; Metazoa; Arthropoda; Insecta; Hemiptera; Cimicidae. The record is from RNAcentral.